This 253-nucleotide ribosomal RNA is filed under the name uncultured bacterium. RNAcentral describes it as "partial 16S ribosomal RNA". It matches the Rfam family "Bacterial small subunit ribosomal RNA", at positions 524 to 776 of the family's 1533-position model. The record is from RNAcentral.
GACGUAGGGGGCGAGCGUUGUUCGGAUUUACUGGGCGUAAAGCGCGCGUAGGCGGCUAGAUAAGUCGGGUGUGAAAUCCCUCGGCUUAACCGAGGACCCGCAUCCGAUACUGCCUGGCUCGAGUCUUGGAGAGGAGAGCGGAAUUCCCCGUGUAGCGGUGAAAUGCGUAGAUAUUGGGAGGAACACCGGUGGCGAAGGCGGCUUUCCGGACUAGCCCUGACGCUGAGGCGCGAAAGCUAGGGGAGCGAACGGG